Molecule: long non-coding RNA, 1117 nt
Filed under: Cyanistes caeruleus (blue tit)
Lineage: Eukaryota; Metazoa; Chordata; Aves; Passeriformes; Paridae
Description: lncRNA (ENSCCEG00000006690.1)
Source: RNAcentral
AUAGAAUGUAGAAUGAGAAUAAAUAAAAUCAGGGAAGGAAGAAUGAGAGAAUUACAUAAUUCCAGCAUCACACAAUCACUGCCUCUGUAAUUAGUGCUUACUGAGUCAACAAGUUUAAGCAGCCACAUUUUGAACAGAUUUAUCUUGAAGUUAAAUUCUACUAAAAGCAGCAGAAAUAUUUGUCCUGAUAUAACCCUCUCUUGUCUCUUGGUAAACAGAGGACAACCAAAAAGCCCCAGGGCAGAGAGGUGGGGAUUUGAGAGCCCUUCCCUCACUGCCCAGGAGAGGGAAAGCCCUGCAGCACCAGCAGCAAUUCCCUUCCUCUGUGAGUGCUUCCAGACCCCAGGGGAUGGCUCAUUCCUUCACAUGCACAACAUCUGCUUCUGUUUGCAGACUUGACAAUCCUCCAGGAACUACAGCAAGGUGAUCCUUACCUACUGCCCUGAUGAUCUGAGAUACUUUUUGGAGCCCAACCCCAGAACCAGAGAGCAAACCCUCAGCUGUGACUCCAGGAUGUGCAGCCUACACAAGAACCUCUCAGCUCUUUUGGUCCUCCAGCUCCAGUUCCCAAAACACCCUGUGCUGGGCAGAUCCCAGAAGCUCCAGGAACCUCACAGAAUUCCACAAGAUCCCACUGCAGCACCUUGUGAGCCUGGAGGCCCCAGCACAAGCUGCUGGUUUGGUGGGGAGAAGGAGCUACCCCAGGACCCUGCAAUGUCAGAGAGGAUCACCUGGGGCAGAUCUGCCCAUUCUCUUUGCAGCCACUGGGGAAGACAACAAGAGACUUGUCUAAAAUGAAGCAGCAGCAGAACCUGGAAUGGAAAUUUGCAGCUCUAGCUCUGAUGUCUGAUCUUACCCAUUAAAAAUUCUGGCUCCUACAUGGAUUCAAUAACCUUUGCAGAAAGAAAGAAAAAUGAGAAAAGAGCCUACUUUAUUUGGAAUCAUAUUUUCUCAUGAGUUCUCUGCAGGUCAUCCAGAGAAAGCAGGCCCCAGUGCAUAGGGUGGGGAGCUUAGGAGACCCAGACUCAUUCUUGGUCUUGCACAUCUAUUCCAAGCAGGUCACAGUCUCUGUGGCAGUUUCUUUCCUGAGGAAUAAAGGUACUGCCUUAUUGAGCCA